AGGGUGUAGGGCGGAUGCCUUGGCACUAGGAGCCGAUGAAAGACGUGAUAAGCUGCGAUAAGCUUCGGGGAGUGGCACAUACACUUUGAUCCGGAGAUUUCUGAAUGAGGAAACUCACUUGGAGUAAUGUCCAAGUAUCCAUAGGUGAAUACAUAGCCUAUGGAGGGGAACUCAGGGAACUGAAACAUCUAAGUACCUGAAGGAAGAGAAAGAAAUUCGAUUCCGCUAGUAGCGGCGAGCGAACGCGGAAGAGCCCAAACCAAGUCAGUUUACUGAUUUGGGGUUGCGGACAUAUCUUAAGGAAAGGUUAUUGCGAGUAGAAUAGGUCUGGAAAGACCAACCAUAGAGGGUAAAAGUCCCGUAUACAAAGCCAAGAAAGUUCUUGAUAUGAUCCAGAGUACCACGAGACACGUGAAACCUUGUGGGAAGCAGGGGGGACCACCCCCCAAGGCUAAAUACUACCUAGUGACCGAUAGCGAAUAGUACCGUGAGGGAAAGGUGAAAAGAACCCCGGGAGGGGAGUGAAAUAGAACCUGAAACCCUACACUUACAAGCUGUGGGAGCGCAUUAUUCGCGUGACCGCGUACUUUUUGUAGAACGGGCCAACGAGUUACGUUAUGUGGCAAGGUUAAGCACUUAAGGUGUGGAGCCGAAGCGAAAGCGAGUCUUAACUGGGCGCCAUAGUCACAUGACGUAGACCCGAAACCGGGCGACCUACCCAUGAGCAGGAUGAAGCGAAAGUAAAAUUUCGUGGAGGUCCGAACCCACGUACGUUGAAAAGUGCGGGGAUGACUUGUGGGUAGCGGUGAAAUUCCAAUCGAGCUCGGAGAUAGCUGGUUCUCCCCGAAAUAGCUUUAGGGCUAGCCUUGAAAUUUAGAGAUGUGGAGGUAGAGCACUGAAUGUCCUAGGGGGUAUUGCACUUACCGAAGACUAUCAAACUCCGAAUGCCAUUAUCUUUUGUUCAGGAGUCAGACUAUGGGUGAUAAGGUUCAUAGUCGAAAGGGAAAGAGCCCAGACCGUCAGCUAAGGUCCCUAAAUGUAUGUUAAGUGGUAAAGGAUGUGGGAUUGCACAGACAACCAGGAUGUUGGCUUAGAAGCAGCCACUCAUUUAAAGAGUGCGUAAUAGCUCACUGGUCGAGUGAUCCUGCGCCGAAGAUUUCCGGGGCUAAAACAUACUACCGAAGCUACGGCAUCAUAUGAUGAUGGGUAGGGGAGCUUCCCAUGCAGGCUGAAGCGAUACCGUAAGGAGUCGUGGACAGUAUGGGAGAGAGAAUGUUGGCAUGAGUAGCGAGAUGAGGGUGAGAAUCCCUCAGGCCGUAAACCCAAGGUUUCCAGGGGAAGGUUCGUCCUCCCUGGGUUAGUCGGGACCUAAGCUCAGGCCGAAAGGCGUAGGCGAUGGACAACAGGUUGAGAUUCCUGUACUACCGAUAAUCGUUUGAGAGAAGGGAUGACACAGUAGGAUAAGCUGAGCACACUGUUGGUUAUGUGUGUCUAAGCGUUGAGGCAGACUAGAUAGGCAAAUCCGUUUAGUUAAUGCUGGGACGCGAUGGGGAGCGAAACUAAGUAGCGAAGCAGCUGAUUUCACACUGUCGAGAAAAGUCUCUAUCGAGAUUAAAGGUACCCGUACCGCAAACCGACACAGGUGGGUGAGGAGAGUAUCCUAAGGCCAGCGAGAGAACUGUUGUUAAGGAACUCGGCAAAAUGACCCCGUAACUUAGGGAUAAGGGGUGCCCCAGCAAUGGGGCCGCAGAGAAUUGGCCCAAGCGACUGUUUACCAAAAACAUAGGUUUCUGCUAAGUCGCAAGACGAUGUAUAGGAGCUGACGCCUGCCCGGUGCUGGAAGGUUAAGGGGAUCUGUUAGAGCAAUCGAAGCAGUGAUCUUAAGCCCCAGUAAACGGCGGCCGUAACUAUAACGGUCCUAAGGUAGCGAAAUUCCUUGUCGGGUAAGUUCCGACCCGCACGAAAGGCGUAACGAUUUGGGCACUGUCUCAACAACAGACUCGGUGAAAUUGUAAUCCCGGUGAAGAUGCCGGGUACCUGCGACAGGACGGAAAGACCCCAUGGAGCUUUACUGUAGCUUGACAUUGGGUUUCGAUACUACAUGUACAGGAUAGGUGGGAGACUAUGAAAUCAGGGCGUCAGUUUUGAUGGAGUCAUCCUUGGGAUACCACCCUUGUAGUAUUGGGACUCUAACCAUAGGCCAUGAAUCUGGUCUUGGGACACUGUCUGGUGGGCAGUUUGACUGGGGCGGUCGCCUCCCAAAAGGUAACGGAGGCGCUCAAA
RNAcentral lists this ribosomal RNA (2283 nucleotides) under human metagenome. RNAcentral's name for it is "bacterial LSU rRNA". It matches the Rfam family "Bacterial large subunit ribosomal RNA", at positions 14 to 2314 of the family's 2925-position model. The record is from RNAcentral.